RNAcentral lists this long non-coding RNA (236 nucleotides) under Elaeis guineensis (African oil palm). RNAcentral describes it as "long non-coding RNA (EGUI_LNC045533)". The record is from RNAcentral. Lineage: Eukaryota; Viridiplantae; Streptophyta; Magnoliopsida; Arecales; Arecaceae.
CCACCUCAAAGUAAAUUCAACAUUUAAUAAAUACUUUUCUUGAUAAAUGGAGGUACAACAAAAAUAAUCUAAUAUUGAUUAAAUUAUGAUCUAGUUUUUUAUAAAAUUUGUUCUCUUUUCGCUUGUCGGAUCCAUCUAAAGUACAAUAAAUGACAUUUGUUAUUAUUUUUCAUUCGAAUAUCAUUAAAAUUUAUUUUUAUUUGGCACUUUAUGCCAUGCUAAAUUAAUGAAAACUC